This 726-nucleotide ribosomal RNA is filed under the name Triticum aestivum (bread wheat). RNAcentral describes it as "partial small subunit ribosomal RNA". The record is from RNAcentral. Lineage: Eukaryota; Viridiplantae; Streptophyta; Magnoliopsida; Poales; Poaceae.
AUGCUCCACAAUGGGUCAGUGCUCUGCGCCAGCGCCGCCGCCGCGGAAGGCCGCCUGCACGGCAGCUUCAAUUCCAGCCCAUUCAAGGUGGUGCUGCUGGCCUCUGGCAGAACACAUGAGCGAUCCUUCUCGGUCUGCGUCUACUCAUCGCAGACAGGCGCAUGGGGCGAUGUGAUUUCAGCAGAGUUUCAACCUGCCGCAAUGGAGCCUCUGUAUACUGCAUCCGAGCUGUACAUGUACGUCCCCAGUACCUUGGUUGGGAGCUCCAUCUACUGGCUGCUUCGUGGCAAUGGCGACACCAUCGUCGAGUUCGAUAUGGGUAGCCGGAGCCUGGCUAUGAUAGAGAUGCCACUAGAUCUGUAUGACCAUGAUAAAUCCAGCUCCUUCAUGACUAUGCCAGCGCAGGAUGGUGGGCUUGGCUUGAUCCUUGUGAAUGACUUCUAUGCCAAAUUAUGGAAGAGGGGGGCUGAUUGCAAUGGUGUCGCUAUAUGGGUGCCGGGGAUAACUAUUCAACUGGGCAAGCUUCUUUCACUGAAUGCUGAGCACAACAGAGGUCCACUGUCUUUGCUGGGAUUUUCCGAGGACAGCAAUGCGUUCGUGGCUGGGGCAUCUAGGAUCGGUAUCUUCGUGGUCUAUCUCAACCCUCUGAGGUUUAAGAAGAUUCAUGAAAGGAGGGAUCUCUGUAUCUUUCAUCCAUUUGAGAGUUUCUGUGUUGCAGGUAUCUAG